This 546-nucleotide ribosomal RNA is filed under the name Triticum aestivum (bread wheat). Its description in RNAcentral is "partial small subunit ribosomal RNA". Lineage: Eukaryota; Viridiplantae; Streptophyta; Magnoliopsida; Poales; Poaceae. The record is from RNAcentral.
AUGUUCGAUUGCAUCCAAAGCAUUGACUUGCUUGCUUACUCUUCCAUUUUAAAUAUAAGUGUUGUUUUUUAUGGCAUUCACUCGUACUACGCUAUGAUUUUUGGACCAGGUUUCAACAUGAAUCCUGUGAACCUUCUGUCCAAAGUCAUCCUAGAUGCUAUGUUUGAGAAAGUCGGCCUUCCAGCGGCCGCCUACUCGGCACGUGCAGUUCAUCUCGGGUGCGUUGAAGUCACAGUCGGCUUCCAUCCAAUUUCCAGUGAACUGGAGCGUCCUGUUAGUCAGACAUAUAUUUCAACCUUUGCUUUCACUGAUCUGGAAGAAGCGCAGAAUCAUGUUGCGCGUAAAGCCAUGGAAUUCAUGGAGAAGGAACACAAUGUGGUCCCAAGUGAUUAUAGCUAUAACAAACUUCAGUCUGCUAGGCUUAACAACGAGUCACUGCGUCAGCGUCUGAAAGAAAAGGACCGCAGUAUCGAAUCAUUGAAAAAGGUCAAUACAUCUCUGGUGCAGCAACUAGAAGAGAAGAACAACAUCUUGACUCUAUUAUGA